This 253-nucleotide ribosomal RNA is filed under the name uncultured bacterium. RNAcentral's name for it is "partial 16S ribosomal RNA". It matches the Rfam family "Bacterial small subunit ribosomal RNA", at positions 524 to 776 of the family's 1533-position model. The record is from RNAcentral.
UACGUAGGGUGCGAGCGUUGUCCGGAUUUAUUGGGCGUAAAGAGCUCGUAGGCGGUCUGUCGCGUCGGAUGUGAAAACCCAGGGCUCAACCCUGGGCCUGCAUUUGAUACGGGCAGACUAGAGUACGGCAGGGGAGACUGGAAUUCCUGGUGUAGCGGUGAAAUGCGCAGAUAUCAGGAGGAACACCGGUGGCGAAGGCGGCUAUCUGGCACACAACUGACGCUGAGGCACGAAAGCGUGGGGAGCAAACAGG